This 391-nucleotide unclassified non-coding RNA is filed under the name soil metagenome. RNAcentral's name for it is "partial contains 5.8S ribosomal RNA, internal transcribed spacer 2, and large subunit ribosomal RNA". The stretch from base 1 to 122 matches the Rfam family "5.8S ribosomal RNA", at positions 35 to 154 of the family's 154-position model. The record is from RNAcentral.
GAUGAAGAACGUAGCGAAAUGCGAUACUUGGUGUGAAUUACAGAAUCCCGUGAACCAUCGAGUCUUUGAACGCAAGUUGCGCCCGAAGCCAUUAGGCCGAGGGCACGCCUGCCUGGGCGUCACACGUCGUUGCCCCCCCAUCUACUCCUUCGGGAUUGCGGGGGGCGGAUGAUGGCCUCCCGUGCGCCUCGUCGCGCGGUUGGCAUAAAUGCCAAGUCCUCGGCGACGCACGCCACGACAAUCGGUGGUUGCGAAACCUCGGUUGCCCGUCGUGUGCGGUCGUCGCGCAUCGAGGGCUCGAAAAAAUUGCCGGGCUCCGGCUCGGCUUUCAACGCGACCCCAGGUCAGGCGGGGUUACCCGCUGAAUUUAAGCAUAUCAAUAAGCGGAGGA